GGCAGAUGAUGUCUUCUUCUCACGAUGGUCUGCGGAUGCCGCUGGGCGGUGCCGAGAAUGCCGAUGGCUCAGCUGAUGCCAGGGG
This is a small nucleolar RNA of Tupaia belangeri (northern tree shrew), 85 nucleotides long. Ensembl annotates it as small nucleolar RNA, C/D box 35A. Its record names the gene SNORD35A. Lineage: Eukaryota; Metazoa; Chordata; Mammalia; Scandentia; Tupaiidae. The record is from Ensembl.